Molecule: ribosomal RNA, 305 nt
Filed under: uncultured bacterium
Lineage: Bacteria
Description: partial 16S ribosomal RNA
Rfam family: Bacterial small subunit ribosomal RNA
Source: RNAcentral
CCUACGGGGGGCAGCAGUGGGGGAUAUUGCACAAUGGGGGGAACCCUGAUGCAGCGACGCUGCGUGGGUGAAGAAGCGCCUCGGCGCGUAAAGCCCUGUCAGCAGGGAAGAAAAUGACGGUACCUGAAGAAGAAGCCCCGGCUAACUACGUGCCAGCAGCCGCGGUAAUACGUAGGGGGCAAGCGUUAUCCGGAUUUACUGGGUGUAAAGGGGGCGCAGACGACGAUGCAAGCCAGGAGUGAAAGCCCGGGGCCCAACCCCGGGACUGCUCUUGGAACUGCGUGGCUAGAGUGCAGGAGGGGCCG